AAACCAACAGGGAUUGCCUCAGUAACGGCGAGUGAAGCGGCAAAAGCUCAAAUUUGAAAUCUAGCACCUUCGGUGUUCGAGUUGUAAUUUGAAGAUGGUAACCUUGGGUUUGGCUCUUGUCUAUGUUCCUUGGAACAGGACGUCAUAGAGGGUGAGAAUCCCGUCUGAUGAGAUGCCCAUUCCUAUGUAAGGUGCUAUCGAAGAGUCGAGUUGUUUGGGAAAGCAGCUCUAAGUGGGUGGUAAAUUCCAUCUAAAGCUAAAUAUUGGCGAGAGACCGAUAGCGAACAAGUACAGUGAUGGAAAGAUGAAAAGAACUUUGAAAAGAGAGUGAAAAAGUACGUGAAAUUGUUGAAAGGGAAGGGCAUUAGAUCAGACUUGGUGUUUUACGAUUAUCUUCUCUUCUUGAGCUGUGCACUCGUAUUUCACUGGGCCAGCAUCGAUUCGGAUGGCAAGAUAAUGGCAGUUGAAUGUGGCUUCACUUCGGUGGAGUGUUAUAGCUUCUGCUGAUAUUGCCUGUCUGGAUCGAGGGCUGCGUCUUUUGACUAGGAUGCUGGCGUAAUGAUCUAAUGCCGC
This 573-nucleotide ribosomal RNA is filed under the name Hansenula anomala. RNAcentral's name for it is "Wickerhamomyces anomalus partial large subunit ribosomal RNA". It matches the Rfam family "Eukaryotic large subunit ribosomal RNA", at positions 62 to 648 of the family's 3401-position model. Lineage: Eukaryota; Fungi; Ascomycota; Saccharomycetes; Phaffomycetales; Wickerhamomycetaceae. The record is from RNAcentral.